CCUACGGGAGGCAGCAGUGGGGGAUAUUGCACAAUGGGGGGAACCCUGAUGCAGCGACGCCGCGUGGGUGAAGAAGCGCCUCGGCGCGUAAAGCCCUGUCAGCAGGGAAGAAAAUGACGGUACCUGAAGAAGAAGCCCCUGCUAACUACGUGCCAGCAGCCGCGGUAAUACGUAGGGGGCAAGGGUUAACCGGAUUUACUGGGGGGAAAGGGGGCGGAGACGGCGAUGCAAGCCAGGAUGGAAAGCCCGGGGCCCAACCCCGGGACUGCUCUUGGAACUGCGAGGCUGGAGUGAAGGAGAGGCAGGCGGAAUUCCUGGUGUAGCGGUGAAAUGCGUAGAUAUCAGGAGGAACACCGGUGGCGAAGGCAGCCUGCUGGACUGCAACUGACGCUGAGGCCCGAAAGCGUGGGGAGCAAACAGGAUUAGAUACCCCGGUAGUC
This 440-nucleotide ribosomal RNA is filed under the name uncultured bacterium. Its description in RNAcentral is "partial 16S ribosomal RNA". It matches the Rfam family "Bacterial small subunit ribosomal RNA", at positions 338 to 795 of the family's 1533-position model. The record is from RNAcentral.